AAACAAACAAACAAACAAACAAAACACGAUGGAACAUAUAAGCAAAAUAAAACCAUAAAGUGAAUAUCAUCUCAUUCUCGUUACCAACAAAUUAAUAAAAUAGAAGACAAACAAAUAAGAAAAAACAUGACCAUUAAAAAAACUAAAUUAAUGCAUUGUUCUUGCAAUGUGGCGUGCAACUAAUUAGUGGUGGAAAUGGAUCACAGGCUAGGAAUUGAGAGAAGAAGAAGGAAAGGUGGAUCAUUUUGAAGGUGAUGCUGAAUCCUUGGUUGGAAUCGUGAGAGUCUUAACAACCUCGAUCAUCACUCUUGGGGAUCUUUCUUCUUCGUUUUCUUGGUGUAGUUGAAAUUAUCGAAUUGAAAUUCCAACAUCAGUUUUCCCGAUUCCACACUUGAAAUUCCUCUUUAAAUUCACACAUAAUUUGGAUUCCGUGCCGAGUGAUAAAAAUGAAGAGCUUUGAUUAUCUCUCUUCCUUUGCGCAUAUAUUAGUUUGUUGCGUGUCUGCCUCAUUAUGGUUUUUGAAAAAUGAAAUAUUCACUAGGUAAGUUUCAAGGAUUCAAGCUUGGACAGAAAGAGAACAACGGAUGGGGAAGGGCUAUGUACAAACAUUUGGGUUUGGAGAGAAGGGAGGAAACACACUAUUUUUGUAAAGAGAAGGGGAGGGGAGGUCAUCAAUUUGCAUAUGAAAGUGGGGAGGAGAUUGCCAUUUCGCAUUGAUUUGAUCCAUAUUAGGGAUGCGAAUCUGAUU
RNAcentral lists this unclassified non-coding RNA (748 nucleotides) under Hevea brasiliensis (rubber tree). The record is from RNAcentral. Lineage: Eukaryota; Viridiplantae; Streptophyta; Magnoliopsida; Malpighiales; Euphorbiaceae.